ACACUGGUGGUUCAGUGGUAGAGCUCUGCCUUCCAUACAGGAGACCCGGGUUCGAUUCCCAGCCAAUGCA
RNAcentral lists this transfer RNA (70 nucleotides) under Loxodonta africana (African savanna elephant). It matches the Rfam family "tRNA". From Rfam's summary of the family: Transfer RNA (tRNA) molecules are approximately 80 nucleotides in length. Their secondary structure includes four short double-helical elements and three loops (D, anti-codon, and T loops). Lineage: Eukaryota; Metazoa; Chordata; Mammalia; Proboscidea; Elephantidae. The record is from Rfam by way of RNAcentral.